RNAcentral lists this long non-coding RNA (1396 nucleotides) under Marmota monax (woodchuck). Lineage: Eukaryota; Metazoa; Chordata; Mammalia; Rodentia; Sciuridae. The record is from RNAcentral.
CCAAGAUUUUCCAAAUCAAGAAGUUUCUCCAGGCUUCUCAUUUUGUUUAUUUUCUGUCUGACUACAUCAGACUAUGACCUACCUGGUAUAUAUAUCUAUGAUCCGUUUUAUACACAAAUACAGAAACACACACUGUAUGUUGGGAAGUUAGUAAGAAAAUUCACUUGUAAAGUCCUAUUUUGAACUGUUGAUUUAAAUGUGUUUUGAAUUUCUCAGAUGAUGAAAGGCCUUGUCCUAUUCACAGUAUCUCGUAAUGUAUUUGGAAGCUUGCAUGGACUAGUAAACCCAAAUUAGUAGUCAUCCAAACAUGAAUACACUAGAGAAGCAUCCUGAGAUGAAAACGGAGGAGGUUAUCAUCAGACAAUCCCAGUUAGAAAUGACCACUGUUGGGAUGGUUGGCAUGGAGAAGGAGACAGGCUGGCUAGACUCUUUCAAGCGAAGCCAAGUUGAUGGAGAAAUAGGCAGGAUUUUUUCCUAUAAUAAAUGGAAAAGCGGGGAGGUAAAUAUGAAGACCCCAAAAUAAUUAGGACUAUUCAGAAGAUCAAUAAAUGCAUGUCUCCAACAAGUUACAAAUCAUGAACUGAUGUUCUAACAGGACCUGGAGGAAUCAAAAGCUUCAUUUCAUUGUUCUAAAGCUCCAAAGUGCUAGAAACAGAGAUCAAUUUUUAUGCCUAGAGACUUUUGACUCAACUAAAAAAUUUAGGUACGUUAACCAGCUUAGGUCUCAUAGACAGCCAAGGUUAGAUUAGGCAGUGGUAAUUAGCUGGCAUUGUUAAGGGCUAAAAGUAGCAUGUUGUACCUAAGUAUUUUUUUUUUUUAAUUUAUAUCUUGCUGUAAGGUGCAUUCUUCCUUUUAUACAAGUUAGCAAUGAGUGGCGCCAUGGUGACAGCUACCUGAACUGCAGGGGUAGUCCUUGGGAAAUAAAUAAUAUCUGAAGGAUUAUUUUUAAAACCGAAAUUCACAAAAUUGGACACAACUAUCACCUAGCUAUUUGGAACUUUCUGACUGAAUUAAACCCUUUGAUCCUGCAUGUCAGGGCAUGAAACUUCCAUUUUAUUUAUACAUAAUUAUGAGAAAUCGGUCAUCAAAAGUCUCUUUGAGCCAAUCUGUUUCUUUUGCAGUCUCACAUUACCAAAAUUUUUGGAGUGGAACUCCAAAUCGUCUUCCUUUAAAAAAAAUUUGCUGAUUAUAUAAGCAAUAAAUUCUCAUUAAAAUUUUGAAUCAUCGGUUAAAUUAGAGAUUAUUUGAUUUAAUAAUCCCCCAAUAUCUACUUUAGGCCCCCUUACACAUUUUGAUGUAUAUUGUUUUAAAUAUUUUUCUAAUAUAUUUGAGUAAUAUUUAUGUAUGUGUGUAUGUAUAAUAUAUAUAUAUAUUAUAUUAUAUAUAUUUCUUUUAU